UAUCUGUUUACUUCGUGAAGACUCUUAGCACUGGGUUUAAAUAAAAAGGCAAGCCCCAAAUGUGUAGUAUUUUGCAAAAUGCAGCCAAACUGGAGAAACUAAAUUUUCAGGAUAUGCCUGUAAUUUUAAACUUUUUCCUCUCCAUGAAGUGUUUAACGUGCCCAGAACUCCAAAAAUUUUGCAUCGAUUUGGUUCAAACUUGCAAACAAAAAUUCAUCUCCAAAGAAAAAUCAAGCAUGGAAAACAUUACCAAGCAAGGACUUCAGAAAAGGGUGGAGAGGAAGGCAAACUGGACUCUCCUCCAUUGCCUACCCAAGAAGAAGGACUGAUGAAAGAACCUUAAGGGACAAAGAAACUAACCUGAAGGGAAAGACAGGGGUGGGUCCAGUCUGUAAGAAGAAAUAACUGGAACUCUGAGCUACAGAAACUCUGCAUCCUGCCUAAUUCAACAUUUAGGGUGAGAAAUUACAU
Molecule: long non-coding RNA, 471 nt
Organism: Mauremys mutica (yellowpond turtle)
Lineage: Eukaryota; Metazoa; Chordata; Testudines; Geoemydidae
Exons: 3
Source: RefSeq, a predicted model, not a curated record